Molecule: ribosomal RNA, 305 nt
Filed under: uncultured bacterium
Lineage: Bacteria
Description: bacterial SSU rRNA
Rfam family: Bacterial small subunit ribosomal RNA
Source: RNAcentral
GUGCCCCUACGGGGGGCAGCAGACGGGAAAAUUGAAAAAUGGAGGAAACUCUGAUGCAGUGAAACCGCGUAUAGGAAGAAGGUUUUCGGAUUGUAAACUAUUUUAGACAGGGAAGAAAAAAGACAGUACCUGUAGAAUAAGCUCCGGCUAACUACGUGCCAGCAGCCGCGGGAAUACGUAGGGAGCAAGCGUUAUCAGGAAUUAUUGGGCGUAAAGGGUGCGUAGACGGGACAGCAAGUUAGUUGUGAAAGCCCUCGGCUUAACUGAGGAAGUGCAACUAAAACUAUUGUUCUUGAGUGCAGGAG